CGGCCGCGGUACCCUAACCGUGCGAAGGUAGCAUAAUCACUUGUUCUUUAAAUGAGGACUCGUAUCAACGGCAUCACGAGGAUCCUACUGUCUCCCCCCUCUAAUCGGUGAAACUGAUCUCUCCGUGAAGAAGCGGAGAUGUACAUAUAAGACGAGAAGACCCCAUGGAGCUUUAAACCCAACAACACCCGCCCCCCUCCAAAUCCUAUUAUUUACCCGGUGAUUGUUUGUUUGGUUUUAGGUUGGGGUGACCGCGGAGUAUAAGAUAUCCUCCAUGAAAAAAAGCUAACUGCCCUUAUUAGAGAAAGACACUUCCAAAAAAUAAUAAAUUAAUUUUAAAUGAUCCGACAUUCGAUCAACGAACCAAGUUACCCUGGGGAUAACAGCGCAAUCCGUCCCGAGAGCCCCUAUCGACAGGCGGGUUUACGACCUCGAUGUUGGAUCAGGGUAUCCCAGUGGUGCAGCAGCUACUAAAGGUUCGUUUGUUCAACGAUUAAAACCCUA
Molecule: ribosomal RNA, 504 nt
Filed under: Boophis madagascariensis (Madagascar bright-eyed frog)
Lineage: Eukaryota; Metazoa; Chordata; Amphibia; Anura; Mantellidae
Description: partial 16S ribosomal RNA
Rfam family: Bacterial large subunit ribosomal RNA
Source: RNAcentral